Molecule: RNA transcript, 3165 nt
Organism: Phymastichus coffea
Lineage: Eukaryota; Metazoa; Arthropoda; Insecta; Hymenoptera; Eulophidae
Gene: Oatp33Ea
Gene name: solute carrier organic anion transporter family member 74D
Exons: 9
Source: RefSeq, a predicted model, not a curated record
AAUUAAUUUUCUACGCUUACUACAUAUCUUUUCUAAUCCUAAGAAUGGAAAAGGACUUAAAGUGCGGCUUUUGUGGUCUCAGUCCAACAUGGCUACAACGAUUUGCAACAACGCGCGCCUUCGUUGUUAUCUACGGACUUCUUGGUACUGUGCAGGCAAUGUCAUUCAUUUACAUUGGCGUUAGCCUGACAACCCUUGAAAAAAGAUUUAAAAUUCCAAGUCGAACUACUGGUGUUUUACUGUCAGGCAAUGAAAUAUCGCAAAUACUGUCGGUCAUUUUGAUGUACUAUGGUGGUUCAGGUCACAGGCCACGAUGGAUAGCAAUUGGUGUAGCUAUUAGUGCUCUAUCUUGUCUAGUCCUUGCUUUACCUCAUUUCAUUUAUGGUCCAGGUCAAGAAGCUAUGGCCUUGACUCAUGAAUACCUUAAUACAACUAUUUUGUCGACUGGAGUCUUCAAAAGAAACGAAAUAUUAAUGUGCUCCACGCUUGAUCAUAUCGAAAACUGUGAUGAUAAUAUAUCAUCAUACACAAGUAUUAUUCCCAGGCUAUUAAUAUUUUUAUCACAGUUUAUACUAGGUAUUGGUACCACAUUGUACUAUGGAUUAGGUCAGAUUUACAUGGAUGACAACACAAAGAAAAAGAACACGCCGCUGCUAUUAGGUAUAACUUUCAGUCUUCGUAUGGUCGGUCCACUGUUAGGAUUCAUUCUGAGUUAUUACUGCCUAAGAGUUUAUAUCGACCCGAAGCUACAUCCCAUCAUAGAUGACAAGGAUCCACGGUGGUUAGGGGCAUGGUGGCUAGGUUGGAUCAUACUUGGAAUAAUGAUGGGAAUUUCAGCAAUAUUCCUUGCCAUGUUUCCUAGGAAACUGAGAAAAUCAAAAUCAAAUAAAAAGAAAGUAUCCACAAGUGAAAUUGAAAUACCGUUGAAAUGUGAGCAAUUGGAUAAAAAACCACAAAUUUCACAUAUGGAAAAACCAUCUCUGAAGGAUUUUGCAGUAUCGCUUAAACGGAUAUGUAAAAAUAAGUUAUUUAUGUACAACACCUUUAGUGCUGUUUUUUAUAUACUUGGUUCCGCUCCGUUCAUUUAUUUUAUUGGUAAAUACAUGGAGGUACAAUAUGGCACUUCUUCAGGUGGCGGCACAAUAAUAGCUGGUCCACUUAAGAUUUUGGGAGUAGUUUUUGGUUUCUUAUUUUCUGGAAUUGUGAUCGGAAGAUACAAACCGUCACCUAGACUUCUGAUGGCCUGGAAUGUAUUUAAUGGAAUACUUUACGUUUUAGUAAAAAUUGUGUUUUUAUACGUAACAUGUGACACCGAUAACAUACAAGGAGUGAAUCUAGAAACUAUGACAGUAAAUUUAACAACCUCGUGCAAUGCAGUCUGUCACUGUGAACAAGUGAAAUUCUCACCAGUUUGUCAUGAUCCUACGGGAAUGACAUACUUCUCAGCCUGUCAUGCUGGUUGUCAAAAGAUUAUCAACGACACGGCAUUCGGUGAUUGUAACUGCGUGAUUAAUUUAGACUAUCUUAUCAAAGACGCGUUUCUCGAAAAUACAUCACUGCAAAUAGAAGAUCAAUUUUCCAAAAUACUUCAAACUGAAAAAAACGUUGUAACUGUGGGACCCUGUAAAAAAAAUUGUUUCAAGUCUUAUAUCACAUUUUCCCUUUUAUCAGCCUUUACUUUUAUUCUCGGAUGUUCUGGGAGAAUAGGAAAUGUACUAGUCAGUUAUAGAUGUGUGGACACCAAAGAUAAGAGUUUAGCCCAAGGUGUUUCAAUGAUGAUACUGUCAUUAGUAGCUAUGAUACCGGCACCUAUAGUUGCAGGAGCUUUAAUGGAUUCCACGUGUUUAAUAUGGGAUGUUUCGUGUAAAAGUAAAGGAAAUUGCUGGGUCUACCAUAAAAACAAAUUCAAUUAUGUUGUCAAUAUAAGUGGAGCAGCCUUUAUUUUUGUGGGAGUAAUCGUUGACGCAUUAUUGUGCUAUUACUCCAAAGGUUUAGACCUAUAUGGAGAAGCAGAAGAGGCCGAGAAAAGAAGAAUUUCUCAAUUGAAAAAUAAUGAUAUAAUAGACAAUGAAGUUUCAAGUCUGAAAUCAUAGCUCGUUGAAAAUUGCUGAUGUACUUUAUUUCAAUCAAGUAUUCGAAGUGAAUAUUAAAUUAUCAUCGACAAAGUAUUGUUACUCAGAAAGCUGCCGUGAUAUUGAAAAGUACCGGUGUAAAUGUGUGUGUUGCGAAAGUGUUAUGCUUUUAAUCACGAAUCAAUCGAAAGGACAUUGAUUGUCUUCUUAAUUUUCUGGAAGUUAUAGAACGUUUAAGUAAACUAAUAAUAAUCAAAAUUUUGGUACCCACGUACACAUUACGUUACUUACCAUCUUCAUGUUCUUUUUAUUGAUUACAGAUUAAUUUUGAAAAAAAUGUAUUACGAAUGUUUGUAAUCUUGAGCGACUGAUAUAUCGACUUCUAGAACAACUUCAUCUUCUUACCACGAGAUAGCAGCAAUGUGAGUUGCAUACGUCAGGUUUGCGCGGCAACGCUUCAAACAGAACAACCGAGGCAGGCGCGCUUAAUUCAUUUGAGCGAACGAGAUAGAAAGAGAGAGCGAGCGAGAGCGAGAGAGAGAGAGAGAGAUCGAGAGAGAGAGAUGACGACGACACACCGGCCGUCGCCAGCGAUUUCGUGUGAUUAUUCAUCUAAACGGUCGUGCCACCGCGCAGAUAGAGUUGAGCGCGCGACGGUGUAACUGCGUCUGCUCCUCUCUUCUCCAUCUCACUUAUCAUUCUUUAUUUUUCAUCGAACAUUUGUGAUUCCUUGUUUGAUAAAAAAAAUUACCUGUCAUUGUUGAAAAUUUCUUGUCGAGGUGGACGUACGUCCUUGACCAUUACGAUCGGGUGACUUCUUUAACUGACUUUAAUGGCACCGCGAUUGUAAAGGGGAGUCACCGGUGUGUGGACAAGUUAUUUGCUGCUGUAAUCGUUUUGUGUGGUAUACUGAUGCCUCGCUGAGAGGAACUAUUUCACCGCGUGAACUUUACAUUCUUGUGUAUCAUACUAUCAGGCAAUGAAAUAUCACAAAUCCUUUCAAUCCUCCUCAUCUACUACGGCGGUUCAGGUCACAGGCCACGAUGGAUAGCGAUUGGUGUUGCGUGUAGUGCUUUAUCGUGUCUAAUUCUCG